RNAcentral lists this ribosomal RNA (622 nucleotides) under uncultured archaeon. RNAcentral describes it as "bacterial SSU rRNA". It matches the Rfam family "Archaeal small subunit ribosomal RNA", at positions 147 to 774 of the family's 1478-position model. The record is from RNAcentral.
UAAUACUCCAUAGAUUAGAGACACUGGAAUGUUCUUUAGUCGAAAGUUCUGGCGCCUUAGGAUGGAUCUGCGGUCGAUUAGGUUGUUGUUGGGGUAACGGCCCAACAAGCCUGUAAUCGAUACGGGUUGUGGGAGCAAGAGCCCGGAGAUGGAAUCUGAGACACGAUUCCAGGCCCUACGGGGCGCAGCAGGCGCGAAAACUUUACAAUGCAGGAAACUGUGAUAAGGGAACUCCGAGUGCCCGUAUACGCGGGCUGUCCAGGUGUUUAAAAAUCAUCUGAAGAAAGGGCCAGGCAAGACCGGUGCCAGCCGCCGCGGUAAUACCGGCGGCUCGAGUGGUGGCCACUAUUAUUGGGCUUAAAGCGUCCGUAGCUGGACCGAUAAGUCUCUUGGGAAAUCCGCCGGCUCAACCGGCGGGCGUCUAAGGGAUACUGUUAGUCUAGGGACCGGGAGAGGUGAGAGGUACUCCGGGGGUAGGAGUGAAAUCCUGUAAUCCCCGGGGGACCACCGAUGGCGAAGGCAUCUCACCAGAACGGCUCCGACAGUGAGGGACGAAAGCUGGGGGAGCGAACCGGAUUAGAUACCCGGGUAGUCCCAGCCGUAAACUAUGCGCGUUAGGUGU